UACGUAGGGUGCAAGCGUUGUCCGGAAUUAUUGGGCGUAAAGAGCUCGUAGGCGGUUUGUUGCGUCGGCUGUGAAAUCCCGAGGCUCAACCUCGGGUCUGCAGUCGAUACGAGCAAACUAGAGUGUUGCAGGGGAGACUGGAAUUCCUGGUGUAGCGGUGAAAUGCGCAGAUAUCAGGAAGAACACCCGUGGCGAAGGCGGCAUCCUGGACCGAUACUGACGCUGAGGAGCGAAAGCCAGGGGAGCAAACGGG
RNAcentral lists this ribosomal RNA (253 nucleotides) under uncultured bacterium. RNAcentral describes it as "partial 16S ribosomal RNA". It matches the Rfam family "Bacterial small subunit ribosomal RNA", at positions 524 to 776 of the family's 1533-position model. The record is from RNAcentral.